AAAAAAAAAAAGGAGUUUUUAAACUGUACAAUCAUUUUAGACUACAAGUGCACAAAUUAUCCAUGAGACGAAUGAUUUUGUAGAGACUAGAGAGGAUGACUGUUUUGUAGUCUUGUAUUUUUAUGGAUACAGAAAUCAUGUGUUGGUCACUGCUCAAUUCCCCUCCACCACCCACACACACACAUUUCUGUGAUCACACACGCACAUAUAUAUAAUUCUGAUAAAUGAGGUUAAGCAAGUGUUAGAGAGACCUUUCCAGAAUUCCAGUAUUGUUUUGGAAGUAGAUUGAUCUUAUGGUUUUACUCAUCGCAAUCAAGUAUAUUUCAUUCUUUUCGC
Molecule: unclassified non-coding RNA, 336 nt
Filed under: Hevea brasiliensis (rubber tree)
Lineage: Eukaryota; Viridiplantae; Streptophyta; Magnoliopsida; Malpighiales; Euphorbiaceae
Source: RNAcentral